Molecule: ribosomal RNA, 253 nt
Filed under: uncultured bacterium
Lineage: Bacteria
Description: partial 16S ribosomal RNA
Rfam family: Bacterial small subunit ribosomal RNA
Source: RNAcentral
GACAGAGGGUGCGAGCGUUGCUCGGAAUUACUGGGCGUAAAGGGCGCGUAGGCGGACAGUUUAGUCAGAGGUGAAAGCCCAGGGCUCAACCUUGGAACUGCCUUUGAUACUGACUGUCUUGAGUUCGGGAGAGGUGAGUGGAAUGCCGAGUGUAGAGGUGAAAUUCGUAGAUAUUCGGCGGAACACCAGUGGCGAAGGCGACUCACUGGCCCGAUACUGACGCUGAGGCGCGAAAGCGUGGGGAGCAAACAGG